Molecule: transfer RNA, 70 nt
Filed under: Rattus norvegicus (Norway rat)
Lineage: Eukaryota; Metazoa; Chordata; Mammalia; Rodentia; Muridae
Rfam family: tRNA
About the family: Transfer RNA (tRNA) molecules are approximately 80 nucleotides in length.
Source: Rfam by way of RNAcentral
GGGGAUUUAGCUCAGUGGUUAGAGCGCUUGCCUAGGAAGCGCAAGGCCCUGGGUUCGGUUCCCAGCUCCG